AAACUUUCAACAACGGAUCUCUUGGUUCUGGCAUCGAUGAAGAACGCAGCGAAAUGCGAUACGUAAUGUGAAUUGCAGAAUUCAGUGAAUCAUCGAAUCUUUGAACGCACAUUGCACCUUUUGGUACUCCGAAAGGUAUAUUUGUUUGAGCAUUAUUU
This 158-nucleotide ribosomal RNA is filed under the name Rhagadolobiopsis thelypteridis. RNAcentral describes it as "5.8S ribosomal RNA". It matches the Rfam family "5.8S ribosomal RNA". Rfam says of the family: 5.8S ribosomal RNA (5.8S rRNA) is a component of the large subunit of the eukaryotic ribosome. Lineage: Eukaryota; Fungi; Ascomycota; Dothideomycetes; Asterinales; Parmulariaceae. The record is from RNAcentral.